Molecule: unclassified non-coding RNA, 330 nt
Filed under: soil metagenome
Description: partial contains 5.8S ribosomal RNA, internal transcribed spacer 2, and large subunit ribosomal RNA
Rfam family: 5.8S ribosomal RNA (bases 1-120)
Source: RNAcentral
GAUGAAGAACGUAGUGAAAUGCGAUAAGUAAUGUGAAUUGCAGAAUUCAGUGAAUCAUCGAAUCUUUGAACGCACAUUGCGCCCCUUGGUAUUCCGAGGGGCAUGCCUGUUCGAGCGUCAUUUCAACCCUCAAGCACAGCUUGGUCUUGGGCUUCGCCGCUAACCCGGCGGGUCUUAAAAUCAGUGGCGGUGCCGUCGGGCCCUGAGCGCAGUAAUUUCUCUCGCUAUAGGGUCCCGGCGGAUGCUGGCCAGUAACCCCCAAUUUUCUAUGGUUGACCUCGGAUCAGGUAGGGAUACCCGCUGAACUUAAGCAUAUCAAUAAGCGGAGGA